GAAGAAGGCCCGCCAGAUGCAGUACGAGGUGCGCUAUGUGGCCAUCUCGACAUACUACCACGACUAUCUUAGUAUGAAGAUGACCAAGGAAGAAGCGCGGAGGAUGGGCAUUACCUUGGAGAGGGACGAGUUCUUGGCGGUGUGUCCAAAUUGGUGUUAUGGAAAAGACGAGUCCUGGGCGGCAUUGGUGGAUCUUUGGUGUGAUGAGGCUGGAGCCUGGGCGGCUAUGAGAAU
Molecule: non-coding RNA, 234 nt
Organism: Aegilops tauschii subsp. strangulata
Lineage: Eukaryota; Viridiplantae; Streptophyta; Magnoliopsida; Poales; Poaceae
Source: RefSeq, a predicted model, not a curated record